UGAGGAAUUUUCUGCAAUGGGCGAAAGCCUGACAGAGCAAUACCGCGUGAGGGACGAAGGCCUACGGGUUGUAAACCUCUUUUCUCAAGGAGGAAGAUCUGACGUUACUUGAGGAAUAAGCAUCGGCUAACCCUGUG
This 137-nucleotide ribosomal RNA is filed under the name uncultured bacterium. RNAcentral's name for it is "partial 16S ribosomal RNA". It matches the Rfam family "Bacterial small subunit ribosomal RNA", at positions 355 to 507 of the family's 1533-position model. The record is from RNAcentral.